Molecule: non-coding RNA, 25 nt
Filed under: Mus musculus (house mouse)
Lineage: Eukaryota; Metazoa; Chordata; Mammalia; Rodentia; Muridae
Source: RNAcentral
UGGUUGUAAGCUUCACUGGAGAGUU